AGUGAACGCUGGCGGUAGGCCUAACACAUGCAAGUCGAACGGCAGCACAGGAGAGCUUGCUCUCUGGGUGGCGAGUGGCGGACGGGUGAGGAAUACAUCGGAAUCUACUCUGUCGUGGGGGAUAACGUAGGGAAACUUACGCUAAUACCGCAUACGACCUACGGGUGAAAGCAGGGGACCUUCGGGCCUUGCGCGAUUGAAUGAGCCGAUGUCGGAUUAGCUAGUUGGCGGGGUAAAGGCCCACCAAGGCGACGAUCCGUAGCUGGUCUGAGAGGAUGAUCAGCCACACUGGAACUGAGACACGGACCAGUCUCCUACGGGAGGCAGCAGUGGGGAAUAUUGGACAAUGGGUGCAAGCCUGAUCCAGCCAUACCGCGUGGGUGAAGAAGGCCUUCGGGUUGUAAAGCCCUUUUGUUGGGAAAGAAAUCCAGCUGGCUAAUACCCGGUUGGGAUGACGGUACCCAAAGAAUAAGCACCGGCUAACUUCGUGCCAGCCGCCGCCGUAA
Molecule: ribosomal RNA, 506 nt
Filed under: uncultured bacterium
Lineage: Bacteria
Description: partial 16S ribosomal RNA
Rfam family: Bacterial small subunit ribosomal RNA
Source: RNAcentral